CGGAUUCGCAAGCCCGAUUUGGUCAGUCGGUGAAGGGGCUUCUCACGGAAAAGGUGAACACCUGCGGCACCGACGUAAUCGCGCUCACCAAGCAGGUGCUGAAAGGCUCGCGAAGCUCUGAGCUGCUGGGGCAGGCAGCUCGAAACAUGGUGCUACAGGAAGAUGCCAUCUUGCACUCAGAAGAUAGUUUAAGGAAGAUGGCGAUAAUAACAACACACCUUCAGUACCAGCAAGAAGCUAUUCAGAAGAAGUAAGUGUCCUCAGAGAUGACGGGUGGGGCCUACUGAAGCAUGCUGGGAGUGACUGCUGUCAAGGGUGUGCAGGAACUGGGUUUACUGCCCUUUAGUUCUAGAAGUUACAGGGCACAGAGGCUGCCCUUAGGAACAGACAUGUUUGCUUAUAGUGGUAACAUUCACAAAUAGAGCAGACAUAAGGACGUCACUAAAUGGUCUCAUUUUCUUAACCGCGUGAAGUUUUUCUAAGCCCUUUUCUUUUUAAUUUAAGGUCUCUCACUAUGUAGGCCCGUCUAACCUGAGGGUCACAAUCCUGCCUCCACUUCCUGAGUGGUGGGGUAUAGGUGUGUGUCCUGUGCCCACCAGCACAGACCCUUCACGGUUUACUUUCCCCCAACCUUGAGAUGGAAUCUCACCGUGUUUCCACAGUGACCUCCAACCCUUGGGUUCAAACCGUCCUCCCUCUGCCUUAGCUCCCGAGUAACAGAUGAACAGUUGGGCCACAGUGCCAGAUUCUGAGUUUAAACACUUGGCUGAGGUAAAUUCUGACUCAGGCGUGACAAGAUCAAUGCAUCAAAGGACAGGUCAAACAGGUAGAUGUCUUCUCCUGGUCUUCUCAGACAGUCCCGUUCUGUUUUGGUUUCCAGCGUUGAACAGUCGCCUGACCUGCAAGACCAGCUGAGUCAUUUACUGAAGUAGCUCUCGCCAGAACAGCAGUUGACUUCUUUGCCUGAUGCUGAGAAGGACGCGGCCUUGGUUUCCAUUUUCAUCUCCAAAAAUUCAUCUAGAAAAGACUUGUG
This 1033-nucleotide long non-coding RNA is filed under the name Rattus norvegicus (Norway rat). RNAcentral describes it as "long non-coding RNA NONRATT001821". The record is from RNAcentral. Lineage: Eukaryota; Metazoa; Chordata; Mammalia; Rodentia; Muridae.